CCCUUAUAUGUUCUGGGCCGCACGCGCGCUACACUGACGAUGGCAACGAGUUUUUCCUUCGCCGAAAGGUGUGGGUAAUCUUUUGAAACAUCGUCGUGCUGGGGAUAGAUCAUUGCAAUUUUUGAUCUUGAACGAGGAAUUCCUAGUAAGCGCGAGUCAUCAGCUCGCGUUGAUUACGUCCCUGCCCUUUGUACACACCGCCCGUCGCUACUACCGAUUGAAUGGUUUAGUGAGGACUCCUGAUUGGCGCCGCCGCCCCGGCAACGGAGCAGCGGACUGCCGAAAAGUUGUUCAAACUUGAUCAUUUAGAGGAAGUAAAAGUCGUAACA
Molecule: ribosomal RNA, 329 nt
Filed under: uncultured eukaryote
Lineage: Eukaryota
Description: partial 18S ribosomal RNA
Rfam family: Eukaryotic small subunit ribosomal RNA
Source: RNAcentral